Megalobrama amblycephala (Wuchang bream) is the source of this 576-nucleotide long non-coding RNA. RefSeq lists it as uncharacterized. The transcript is spliced from 3 exons. NCBI's taxonomy places the organism in Eukaryota, Metazoa, Chordata, Actinopteri, Cypriniformes, Xenocyprididae. The record is from RefSeq and is a predicted model, not a curated record.
AAAAAUUACAGCAAUAUUUUACAGCCGAUGGCUGUAUUUUAAUAAUACAGCAUAUUGCUGUAAAUUGCAAUGAAUUCCAGGGGCGUGGCGAUUUGAAUCAAAUUUACAGAAUAUUGCUGUAAAUUUCAAAUAUACAGAGGCAUUGUGGGAUCUCCAACGGUCAAGAUUCGAGUAGCAGCAAGAGGAGUGAUUUACAACUGUGGUAUUUAUCUGGAGAGAGGAACAAAGACGAAAGGAAAAGUGCCAUCUAAAACAACAGGCAGACAGUUCAGAAGAAACGGGUUGCGUUCAACCUACAUGUGGCCACUCUUCUGUGCAAAGUGAUGGAUUUUCAGUGGAAUUUCUGAAAUCCUCUCUUUGAAUCCUGGGAUGGAACAUCAUCUGGAGCAGAAUUGUUCUUUUUUGAUCGCAAGUUUGUUGGACUUGUUGUUUGGCCAUGUUGGUAUGUUCAUGAAGUGAUAAAAGUGAUGUGGGUUUUAAGAAAUGUUUUUAUAUGACCCUGUUGGUCAAGUUAUAGUUAUAAUUGUAUUUCUUUGUGUGAAGGGCCAUGAUGGCCAAUAAGUAAUUUAAAAACAU